CUUUAUUGAGUGAAGGACCAAGUGAGAGGCGCCCAUUGCUGGAUGUGGCCUUCCCGCCUCUGAGUUCUGGUGCUCUGCCUUGCUCCUGUACCGCCUGCACUGGCCAUUCCAAUUUGUGAUUUCUUGUGGGCAUCUCAGCUUUCUCCUUCAGCUGUGAUCCCCCAUCUGAAUCACAAGCAUCCCCAACUCAUUACAAUUUCUCAAAUUUCUCUUUGUAGCUCUGGAGCCUAUCCUGGGACUUGCUCUGUAGACCAGGCUGGCCUCGAACUCACAGAGAUCUGCCUGCCUCUGCCUCCCGAGUACUGGGAUUAGAGGCUACUUUUUCUUUUCUUCUUUCUUAUGAGUUGAAGAUCCAUCCCAAUUUGAUUGAUGGAGCCCUCUUGGCUGUGUAAGAUUUCACUGUAGCCAGGCAUGGUAGCACCUGCCUUCAAUCUCAGCACGCAGGAGGCAGAGGCAGGUGGAUCUAUCUCUGUGGGUUCAAAGACAGCCUGGUCUACAGAGUGAGUUCCAGGUCAGCCAGGGCAGUCACACAGAGAAACCCUGUCUUGAAAAACAAAACAAAAAGAUUUCACUGUCUUCUCCAGCUUGCUGGUCCCCCUGGCAGUAUCUUUUCAUAUGUCUCAGGGCCCAGCCUUGAGUGAAGUCCCAGGGAAAACAAACCAGGACAGACAAAAACACCUUUCAUACCAACGGGGCUCUCUCCUGCCUGGUGGAAGUGUGAACAGUGUUCCCGUUUGAGUGUGACAUGGCUCCUGCCGGUGUUUGAACACUUGGCUCCCACGUAGUGAGCCUGGCUGGAGGAAGCCCGUCACUGCCUGCCAUGGGCCUCCAAGGCCACAUCUUCUGGUUCCCUCCCUCCCAUGUUUCCUGCUUCCUGGCCCAGCAAGAUGUCACAUGAUCCUGCUGCCUUCCCAGGUGUCAUGCCUUCCCUGGCACCGGGCACAGAGCCCACUGGCCAAUAGCCUGGCAGGAAGAAGUUAGGCAGAAGGACCAGACUGAGAACACUGGGAUGAAGAGAGG
This 1020-nucleotide long non-coding RNA is filed under the name Cricetulus griseus (Chinese hamster). Its description in RNAcentral is "lncRNA (ENSCGRG00015038474.1)". The record is from RNAcentral. Lineage: Eukaryota; Metazoa; Chordata; Mammalia; Rodentia; Cricetidae.